CACGUAGGAGACAAGCGUUAUCCGGAUUUAUUGGGCGUAAAGGGCAUGUAGGCGGGCUCUUAAGUCGGAUGUGAAAUCUCUUGGCUUAACCGGGAGGGGUCAUUCGAUACUGGGAGUCUUGAGGGCAGGAGAGGGAAGUAGAAUUCCCGGUGUAGUGGUGGAAUACGUAGAUAUCGGGAGGAAUACCAGUGGCGAAAGCGGCUUCCUGGCCUGUGCCUGACGCUGAUAUGCGAAAGCGUGGGUAGCAAACGGG
This 253-nucleotide ribosomal RNA is filed under the name uncultured bacterium. RNAcentral describes it as "partial 16S ribosomal RNA". It matches the Rfam family "Bacterial small subunit ribosomal RNA", at positions 524 to 776 of the family's 1533-position model. RNAcentral also lists the same sequence under 1 other name. The record is from RNAcentral.